CGUAGGGUGCAAGCGUUAAUCGGAAUUACUGGGCGUAAAGCGUGCGCAGGCCGCUAUGUAAGGCAGAUGUGAAAUCCCCGGGCUUAACCUGGGAACUGCAUUUGUGACUGCAUGGCUAGAGUACGGCAGAGGGGGAUGGAAUUCCGCGUGUAGCAGUGAAAUGCGUAGAUAUGCGGAGGAACACCGAUGGCGAAGGCAAUCCCCUGGGCCUGUACUGACGCUCAUGCACGAAAGCGUGGGGAGCAAACAGGAUUAGAUACCCUGGUAGUCCACGCCCUAAACGAUGUCAACUGGUUGUUGGACGGCUUGCUGUUCAGUAACGAAGCUAACGCGUGAAGUUGACCGCCUGGGGAGUACGGCCGCAAGGUUG
RNAcentral lists this ribosomal RNA (370 nucleotides) under uncultured organism. Its description in RNAcentral is "bacterial SSU rRNA". It matches the Rfam family "Bacterial small subunit ribosomal RNA", at positions 526 to 896 of the family's 1533-position model. The record is from RNAcentral.